GGGGUUAACGAAAAAGAAAACAGAACGAACUUCGUGGAAAUUAAUGACAACGACUAGCUACCUCUGCAAUCGCCAAUCAGGUUUAGUGGCACCAAGAUUCAACCCCCAAUUGAGCAUACAAGGCAGAAUAUUGGCUUGUGUUCUUGAUGGAUUUGGAAAUGUGUUCCGGGUCCGGACCCGGUAACAACAGUCACAGAAAGCACUAGAAUGUGUCACGGCCAGGACCAGUUCCAGAACCAUCAGAAGAGAAAAUUGGACCACAUCACAAGCCGAAAAGGUAACCAUUAAACCAAACCAAAAGUCGGGAGAUCAUUACAUUCAUUUAUGCAAAACACGAUCAUACCGGGAGUUGACAUGUACAUGAUACUUCUUAUCAGACAAGGAAGUUGAAACUAGUUUGUACUUUACUAGUAUUAUAUCAUACAUAUUACUACUGAGCAGUAGCUUUCUUGGCUUUCUUAGCAGCAGAGGACUUGAUGGAUUUGGGCUGCUUUGGUUUGGCAGCAGCCGAUUUCUUUGCCUUCUUAGGCGGAGGAGGAGCGGCGGCGGCAGACUCUGCUUUGAUUUUAGCUGCAGCAGUUACGGACCUUGUUUUCCUUGGGGCCUUGGCCUUGGUCUUGAUCUCUUUUUUGGUUUUGCCAGCUGCCGCUUCAGAGAGCUUGUAAGAGGCCCUGAUCUUGAUGAGAUUUCCUUUCGCAGCGAAGUGCUUCAGCUGCACUGCCAAUAUUUUCCUGAAAUUCGCUGGGAGCUCAUCUUUGUGCUUCUCUUCCAUGUACUUGGCUAUUGCGUAUGGGCUUGAACCGCUCUUAUCUUGCAGCGCCAUCAGUGCCUCCGUUAUCAUCUGCACAAUUAAUUACAAUAAUAUCAAAAACUUCCUUCAAUGAACGUGACUUAUAAUUUAAUUUGAUUAAAUUGACAAACCUGAAAAUAAGGAGGAUGAGAGGGGGUUUUGGACUGCUUUGGCUUCUUCUCUUUAGGAGCCUUGGGCUUCUUGUCCUUAGCAGCCUUGGCCUUCUUCUCAGUGACGACCUUUUCCGGCUCCUCCGCAGCCGGCUGCUGCUCCGUCACAGCUUCACCUUCUGUGGCCAUCUACUUUCGCAACUAACGAAUCCGCUCAAAACGAUCUCGCAGAAUUACUAGAAGAAAACUAAAGCCUUGAAUUACAGCCUUGAUUGUUUAUUUAUUAAAUAUCGGAGGAAAUGAUCCUUAAUUUAUACUAGCGCUCCAUCCCGGUGAAAAUUUUGUUAUUGGUCCGUUGGAAUUAAAGUAGAUCGCCAGCGUGUUCAAGGAUAUAUCUAGAACUCACACGUGGAACGAUAUCCGACCGUCCCUUACUAUACCAGUUUAAUUUUGCUUAAAAUGGAAUGCGGAGUGGAUUGAAAUUUUCAUUUCGACGUUGGUCUUCUUCCUCUUUGUUGUGUGCUUUCUAUUUUGAUUUACACUGCGAUAUCUUGGGCAUGAAGUCGGCUUUUUUCAUUUUUUUUUUUUGGGAAUGCAAGCUAAGUAAGUCCAGAUUAUAAUGCGGGUCACAUGGAGCAAAAUGGUUGAGUUAAUUGAAUUCUCAAAACAAAAUGUUGUUGGUGUAUGUUGGUUUUGCUUUUUACUUUGUUACUCCGUUGUGCUGUGAAAUUAGAGAAAGCCAUUAUUAGCAAUACGUGAUUGAAAUUUAUAAUUAGGUUUCUCUCUUUCAAAUACAACAAUUAUUUACAAACACAUGAUUAACAUACUAAAUAAGAUCAAAGAUAAUUAUACACCGACCACCUAUUUUUUUUAACUUUUUUAAAAAUACACAAAUCUUAUUUUUUUUGAGACAAUAUUCUACUUGAAGUUAACAUUUUUUUUUAUUUGUCCACUCCCGUCAUAGCACUGUUAGAACUUUGUUGACAUAGUAAGGGUAAAAUUUUUAUUUCACAAGAACAAAAAAAACGACAUUAUUUUAUGUUCCUUUUUUAUUUCCUUUUAUUUUUGGAUAUUAGAAAUUUUUGGUUAAAUUUAAAUUCUUUUAUUAAUUGGUAUCCCUGUUUCUUCUAAUAUAAAUAUAUAUAUACAUUAGAUGCAAAAGUAAUUCAAAUAUGAAUAAAGGAUAAAAGAAAAGUGUACUAGAUUUUGGAAUUUGCCAAUUCAGAAAUGAAAAUAGAAAUUAGAAGUUGAGCCUCUAAUUCCUAUCUUUUUCUUUUCUUGAGUCGGUACUGUGAGUAUAGGAUGUUCUAGUUUUGAUAUUGGAUAUGCCAAACAUUGUAACAAGCUCAAGGAUGGAAACAGAAGUUUUGUGGGGCUUCUACAGUGUCGUAUUGAUCUUGGAAAAUUUUAAAUGAUAUUUCUUUGCCAUUUAUUUGAGACAAAAGAAUAAUUUUAUAUUCAGGGAAAAAAAGAUCGUUUAAUUAAUAUUCUGUUAAAUCUAUUAAUUCCGUUAUAACAGAAGUUGACAAGUAAAAAGAAUGUUAACUUUCAGUAUAGCACUGUCCCUAAAAAAAAAAUCGUGUAUUUUUGAAAAAAAAAAAAAAACAUAUGAUACGUGGAUAAUUGCCCUAGAAUCAGUAACUCUUACUCAUUGUUCUCGCACUUUAAGAGUGUACAACGAGGGACAAGAAAAAAACACACCCAAUUAGGAAAACUCGGAAAACACAGACCUACACCACCAAACAUUACUUUUUUAUCCAGAUUCUCUGUCUGAACUUCCGAUUUAAAAGCAAGUUCCAACCGGUUAAGGUCAACAAGAUCAGUAUUUCAAAUAGUUGUUUUCAACGUAAACAGGAUUGCUAUAGAUCCAGAUGAAGAAAAGUUGGGAAUUCAUCAUCGUAAUAAAACUUUAAAUUACAUUAACAAAAGCUAAAAAAUGAUUUGAUGUUAUAACAAAAGGCAGCAUAUACAAGGUUUUUAGGUAAACUAAAUAAAUAAACAAGCGUUGAAGUGGUGUUCUUUUGUCAACAUAGUAGCAUAAUGAACAAAAUCUUAUUAAGAUCGGAAACUCUUAUCGUUUACAACUGUAGGGAUAUCAUCCAACACAUAUUCUACGGUGCAGUAGUGGAAAUCAAAUGUUCAAUAAAACAAAAAGGUCAAAAGUGAAGGAAAAAAAAUAUUAAUAGAAAAUUGUAAGAUCACGUAAUAAGUCCAACUUCAACAAUAAAGUUUGGCUGCCAGCAUUUCACGGCAUGAUCAAGAGACUUUCACAAUCAUACAAUGAACUGAAGCAUUUGCAAGAGUCAAUGACGCCCGCUUAUUUGAAUAAUACAAAUUACACAGAGCUAGUAAAUAACUACGAAGCAGCUGUCCUAUAGAUAGAACUACAAUAGAUUAAAUAAAUACAUUAGAGGUCAGAUAUUCCCUUUACAAAUGAUUUUUUUAGCUGGAAAUGGAAAGCAACAUUUUUUCCUUGAAGGAGCAAAGCCCGGGCUUAAAAUAUAAAUGAGCUGGAAGACCCCUGUGGACCGACAACAGUUUCGCUUCUGCAGUGAAACUCAACAUUUACACACUAGAUAGACAACAGUUUGAAAAUAUGUGAACCGUGAGGAAACCACCCCCCAAACCCCCUUAAACUCACAUCCACAUCUUAACCACACUAGGCAAAUUUGAGGCCAAUCAACCAAAAAAUUAUACUCCACCUAGCUUCCGAUAUUUUCUGACAUUAUGAUUUAAGGUGAAGAGGCAUUAUCAAAAGACUUAACUAACUCAAUUUUGUUUUAUCUUAGUAUCCGUCUCCACCGCCUAAAACAAAAAAAAUGAUUCCACAGAAGCUAAAAGACAUUUUCAGCAGAUCCCUCGGGUUUAAAUUCGCUCAUAUCUGUCAAUUUCUUCAACCACAAAUUUGUUAUCUUUGGCUGUUUACCAACACGCCCCAAAUUCAACUAAAAUAUGAUUAAUUAUCCUAUUCAAAACAUCUUACAUCCAAACAAACUCACUCAAAACUUAACAGUAUCAACCAUUAAAAAAAAAAACACUUGAACGAUAAGACUGCUAUAGCAAACAGGAGCUGAAACAUGCAAACCAAUAAUCAGAUUAAAGUUCAUAAGGAAAAUCCAACACAGAAACUGAUCUACUAAAGAAGGGGUGGGGAUAUUUAGGUAAACAAAGCAAUACAUGAUAAACAUGAUAAUUACAGCAAAUAGACAUCAUCAAAAAUUUGGGUUGAAUGCAAAAAUAGCAAAAAAAAUUAAAAACAAACCACAGCAGAUAAAUAUAUUGACAAUGGAAAAGAAAGAUUUUUAUGGUUUUUCUAAAAAAAAAGGAAAAAUCAGUUAAAACAGGGAGUGAGGGUUGAAGGCGGCUACAGUAUAUAUAGAAUUUGUAAAGAAGUUUAGUUGAUUGCAAUUUUGAGAUAUCCAGAAGUGUGUAAAUAAAAUAUAAUUUUUAUAUUUUCAUCAUGAACUUUAAGAAAACAGAAAUGUGUGGGUUCAAGUAUCCCCAUGCAAGAAAGAAGCAAGAUUUAUAUCACCUAUUUUUUAUGAAAAUGGAGAUAAGCAAAUCAAGUGUAUUCACUUCACAAUUUAUGGUAAUUUUGAACCAACUUCACAGCUAAACCUUCAAAAGUUCAAUGAAUCAGAAUAGUAACUAAUUGUCCUCUAUGUACCAUCCAAAUAUCACUUGAGUAUAAUUUAGUGGCAAUUAGAAUAAAAGCACACGAUCCCUUGUAAAAGCUAUUUAUGAAACUAACCACGUCCUUAGAGCAAAACCCAGAGUGAAUCUGAUUUCAAUCCAACCAAAGAUUGAAGCUGAACAUGGAAAGAACAGCACUAAGAUCUCUCCUAGAAGUAUAAAUAAAAUUGCAUAUGAUCCCUUCUGCUCCUUCCCAAAUAAAGGUCAAACAAAAGGUUUUAGUAAUCUUCAGUUUGUUAGAGAGUAGCACCUUUAAAACAAAAUCCACAAUUAUCAGAUAAGACUUUCAAGCUGAAGAGGUUUGGAACAGAUGCAAAACAUUGACCACCACCAGAAACAUAUCUAGUCAGAAAGAAACAUAUUCAAUUGAUACAAUAAGGAUGGAUCAUCUUGAAGAACUGCCAUAUUCACUCAAGUAACCAAUAAAAUCUCUAAAGCACAGUCCCCUUCAAUCCAUAACAUAUAUCCAGAUCGGUAGGCAGGUUUCAGAUUGCAUAUUCCUAUACAAGGUCUACACUUUUUGUUUCUCCAAAAACAUAAAACAUAGGGAGAUCUCCAUAAAAGCACUAUAGCCAUAGGCAAUUAAAGUUUAAACUAACUUCUGCAUCUGUCGCGAUAUAAUAAAAGCCAUAGCUUGAACUUUCCAAUUCCACAAAAGAGUCACCCAGUCCACUUCCUUUUAACAGCUUCAAGAUUAAACAUCAAUCUGUAUUCUUGAUCCAUGACGUACUCAUGAAUAUAGAAGGAAACUUAUACUGCCCUUUACCACAACAACCGAUAUAAAAAAACCUCCAGUUCAUACCUAGAGCAGAGGGAGCACAAUCUAUUACAAUCUCCGACGUACAGAAGAAAUAUAAGUUUCUUAGUCCAGGUCCUUCAUGUAUGUAACCUAACUAGACACAUUGAACUCCUAACAUGGUGCUAAUUAUAGUAGAAACAUAACUAGAAAGAGAUGUACAGGGUAAUGGAAGACAAGGGGAAAAAGUUGAAUGAAGAUAAUUAAUAAAAAUUAAAAAGGCAACUGCCACCAUAUUUUCAGCAGCAAGCCAGCUGCCCAUCAACAAUGAACUGCAUCCUGCAUUUCCCAGCCCACCUAGACAAAAGAGUGAAACAGCCUCUAAAAGUUAUAAGGUGAACGCAUUUACCAUAAAACUCAGGAAACUUAAAAUUGCAAUACAGCUGCCAUUACCAAAGGAUCUCGAGUCUAGUAGAAAUAGCCACCUCCAUAUAAGCGAUCAUCCCCGUAAUAUGGUGGGUAAGGUGGAUGUGCACCAUACUGAAAAAAUGAAAAUAUGAUGGAACAUUAUAAAAAUGUCAUCUGCACAUCAAUAUGGACAUGCUAAAACUGCGAGCUUACAUUGGGAACAUGAUAAUCAUCUGAAUAGUGAUUACUGCAAGCUCCAACAUUAUCUAAACAAAAUAAAAUACAGAUGAGCAAUAGGAUGAAUAAAACAUGAAAUUGAGCCUGCCUAAAAAAGUCAACAAAUGCAAAGCAUUGCAUACCAUGAUGAUGGCUUCCAUGAAAUGGAAUUACUGGAUCAUUAUAAUCCAGUCGUGGUCGGAAUCUUCUUGGCCCCAUGCAAUCAGGCUCAUGGUCCUACAGGCAGUAAGCAAAAUUCCAACUAAUAACACUAGGAUAAUUGGUAAAGGAUAGGAACAAACGUGUUAGAAACGUAAAUCAGAGAUAAUAAAAAAUUGGACAAAUAGCUUGCCAUCACAUGGAAUGACCGCUUUACUCCAUGGGCACGGUCAUCAUAAAAAUAAGGGUCAUCAACUUGUCUCCCAAUAAAAGGUCUGUCAAAGUCUUCGCCUUGAGAAAAUGGUUGCCUCCUAUAAGAAUGAUGCUCCCCAUAGCCUCUAUCGGGGCCAUCCGGCCAAAGUCUAGUAGGAUUAGACCUUGAAGGCCCAGCUCCUGCGGCGGCUCUACUAGGUGCAUUAUAACCACCUCUGAAACUCCUUCCUCCUGUAAGUAAUAUAUAUCAAAUUGUAAGACCAGCCUCUAUGUGUUAACUCAUACAUGCUUGUGUAGUUGUGCACAUGGAUGCAUCAACAAACAAGCUCAGAGAGAGAGAGAGAGAGAGAACCUCGUCCAAUAAAUUGUCUCCCAUGAAACUCAGUGUAUCGGUUGUCAAAGUCAUACUCAGUGGGACCCAUUCUACUACUGUGAUUCCGACCAUGUUGAUAGAAACCCCUGCCGCGUUGGAAAUUUGCCCUGUUAAAGUGAUGUCCAGCCCGCCCAGAGCCCCUUCCUAUAAGCCAUAAAAGUAAUCAUAAGCAAAAGGCAUGGACAUGAAAAUCUAAAGCCUCAGUUUCUAAAAGAUAGUAGAUUACCAUAUCUUGAAAAGGUUCUGCUGCUACCAUGACCAAUUCGGAAUCCACCAGACAUACCACCCUUCACUGCCUGAGUUUUUGGCAUCGGAUUUGAAAGUCUUGCUCUCAGUUUUACCUAGGAGGACAUGACAAAUCAAUAAAAUCUAUUAUCCCCGAGGUAUAAGCCCAGUUGGCUUAACUCUUGCAGUGGAAGCAAGAUGUGAUGGCGGUUCAAGCCCAAGGGGAUACCUUUAAUUUGGGGUUAGGUUAGGUUCAUUGUAACUGAAAAGAAUUUACCCCAGGCCAUUAACUGAUAAGUGCAAGUCACAGACAUGUACAUGAAAAUGAUAAGAGUCUACAAGAGAACAAAAGGGGCAUUGACUUCUACUUGUUCUUCUUCUUAUUAUCAUUAUUAAUUUUGGAUGACAAUGCAGCAGAUUGUUCAGGAAGCUUUAAUUAGAUAAUCUCUAACAAAUUAGCAUUUUCAAGAAAAAAAGUAAGAAAAUGCAACCCAUUUGAAAACUUAAAGCCCCUACAAUAUAGAUGUAGACACAAAAGCAUAUACACCACAGCACAUCCAAUAUCAAACUACAAGCUUCACCUUUGAAUUGCCAUCACUGAAUUCUUUAUUGUUUAUGGCAUUGAUGCAAGCAACAGCAGCUUCAUGGGUUGAGAAAUCAAUAAACCCAUAGUCCUUCCUUUUAGCAGUUGACAUAUUUCGAGCUAGGACAAUCCGUAUAACAUCCCCAUAGCCUUUUAUCUGAUCUCUAAUUUGGUUUUCUUUCCAGUGAGGAGGAACCCCAUCAAGAAAUACAGUCUUCACAUGGGCCAUUAUUUCUGGGUCAGGCUCACGUAAAGGUUCAGCAAAAGCUACCUUGACAGUUCUUUCGGGAUGACCAAAAACAACAUCAGGCUUCUGAAGCCUCUUGUAUGCAGCCAUAGCAUCAACAUGGCAAGAGAACAUAACAAAUGCAAAACCACGACUCAACCCUUCAUGUUGAAUAUCUGACACAAGGUUAAUGUUCUCAACACCUUCGACACCGUAAUCUUUCAGUUUUUGCUUAAUCUGCCAACCCACAUAACAUUAAGGAUGAGUAAUCAAACCUGACAAGUAGAUACACAUAACAAACCAGAUACUUACAGCCUCCUUUGUCCAUGUAUUGCAGAUAUUUCCUACAAACAAUGUGUCAUUGUCCUCACUUGGUGCAGUCCCGCAUCGCUUUCCACAAAUCUGUUUGAGAGGAAAAAUUAGGAUAUAUAUCAAAAAUAGCUGAAGCAUAAACUAGAACAGAUCCAUACCACAGGAUUCUUCAUCUCAGUCAGAGCCCGUUUUGCGUGCUCCUUGUUUGCAAACUUCACAAACGCAUAUCCCUUAUUCCUAUUUGUCGAAAAAUUCUUGUGUAAUCGAACUUCAAUUACCUCUCCAAUCCUCUCAAAAACCUUUCUAACAUCCUCUUCCGUAGCAUCACGAUCCAAUCCACCAAUAAAAAUUUCAUGCUCUUUCUUAAUCUUGCGGUCCUUCGCUAUCGCGUUUAGUUCCCUGCGUUCAUCUUCCAAUGUCUCAGCUUCAUCAGCAGGCUCCUCCAUAUCAUCAUCGGCAAACUCUUCCUCGUCAUGCUCUCCAUAGUCUACGCAAUCACCAUAAUCCUCAUAACUUCCAUAGUCAUCCAGUUCCGAUUGAAAAUUUUCCCCCAACAACUUGCUUUUCAGAUCUUCUUCUUUGUCAACAGGCACAGUCUCAGGCUCCUCUUUGUCAUCAACAUUUUCUAACUCCUCCUCUUCAGGGUCUUCAUCUGUUUCCUCCUUGUAUUGAAAUAUGGCUUCUAUAAUGUCAUUGUGCUUGGCAACCUCCACAAGGGCAGGUUCUUUUUGCUUCGAAGAAUCCCCUAGCCGUUCCUUAUUGUCAUAGUUAGAAACUUUAUCCUCACUGAAUUUUGCAACCUCCAUACCAUGUUCUUUUGCAAUUAAAGAAUCCCCCAUGUUUUCAACAACUUCCAUUGAUGUUUGAUCCUCCUUUACUGCUUCAUCAUCAUCUUCAAGAGCAGUAUCUUCCUCUUCCUCUUUUGUCCCUUCUGCAACAUUUUCAACCACAGCUUCUAAUUGCAUUUUACUCAGUUCCUGCAUCGGAAAUCCUCUAACAUUUUCCUCUGUCAUUGCAUCCUCUACUUCCUCCUUUGGGGAUUCUUCAGCCCUUGCCUUAUGAGAUCCCUGAGAAAUAGGUGUUUGUGAGGCAAUAACUUUUCUUGAAGAUGGAGUUCUUGUUUUUACCAGCUUCUUCUUUACCCCCGAACUGGUACCCGAAGCAACUGUCUUUUUUACUGGUGUCACCACAGCAGCAUCAGCUGGUGCAUUCCCUUCUCCAACUGAAAAGUAAAGUUCAACUUACGGUUACAUCAUUAUAGUCAAGCUAACCAAAAGAACAACUCCAUAAUAAUAAUGAAUGUAGUGAAGAAUAGCUUCCUUCCUUCGGCGAUCAUAAGUCAUUCAAGAACUAAAGUAAGGUAGCAGCUGAUAGAAACAUCAAUAAUAACUCUAUAAGAGCUUAGACUUAUCUACAAUAUAUACUAGCCGAAAAAAGAAAACCGAAUCACUCUGACAUGCUUAUAAAUAUAAAUGAUUUUAAAAUUGAGUUCCUAUUGACUGGCUUCAAUUACUUAGAGAAACAAAAAGAAGGAAAAAGAAAAUACUCUGAGCUUUAAUUAAAUGUUCCAAACAUUUGAAAAGAAAGAAUUAUACCAGCUGAAUGUUCAAGGCUAGAGCCAGAACUCGGGGUAACUUGGGGAGGUGUCGUUUCGUUGGAUUUUGCUUGCUUCGCUUUGCUGCCAGAAUCGCGUUUUGUCUCCGCAGGGGUUGAGGUAGCUCUAGUGGCGAUUUUCCUCGUCGGCGGAGUCUUUUUGGUGGGCGUGGAUUUGGCAGAAUCACCGUUUCGGGUUCUCAUGUUCGUAACAAGAAACCCUAGAUGGAGUUUCGUGAAACAGGCGACAGCGAGUCAGCGACUCUGAAUUUUUUUUUUUUUUUUUUUUUUUUAAAUUCUAAUGUUUUGACUACCGCCCUCAGAGCGAUCACUAAGGAGAAGAUCAUGCAGUGAGGCAGGAGGUUUUGAGUUUUUGACGUUUUGUAAUGAAGAUAAUUGGAUGUGCUGACGACGUCGUUCCAUUUUCGUACCACAAGAACUGCGUUGUUACCUUGUUGGGCUUCAAUCUGUUUACAUUAUGGGCUGCUGCCUUGCUGUCCCUUGUUUUCAUUUUGAGUUAAUUAGUACCACUACGAUGCCGCAAAAUUCCUUUACAUCCCCAGUUUUACGUAUAUUUAUUUAAAAAAUUUAAACAAAACAGAAUUAUUUUGUCCAACUUUUGUCCCAAGAUUAUCCUCUGUGCUCUCUCUCUCUCUCUCUCUCUCACAAUCUGUUUAUUUGGUUAUUAGUUCUGCAGUAUUUUUGUUUUCUGAAAUUUUUAAAAAGUCGAAGCUUAACAAAAUUUUAUACUAAUGUCUUUCUUACAAUGAUUCUCUCGACGAGAAUCAUUGAUCAUCAUCAUUUGUUACAGUAUUUUCUUACGAAUUAUGAUUAAGAAACCAAAUGUGCAAAUUGUAUCAACAAAAACAACAAAAAUUAAGAUGAAUUUUAAAUUUUUGUUAAAAACCUCUCAUUUUUAGCCAAUUACUAAAAUAUUUUUCUAGGCGUUCAGCAUAUCAGAAUGUUGAAGCGUACGGCAUUGUCUAAAGUUUGACAUUCUAGCACACAAGAUUAAUAAAUUUGAAAGAGUAGGACAAGUUUAAGCGGAUAAGACGGAACUACCCUCCUAGCCCUCAAACGAAUUAUAGUCCCGUUCAUCAAACUCCUCAAUCGCACGUUUAAGCUCUGAAACUAGAUUUGUUAUUAUCGUAACACUUGAUCAUGGAAUUCUCGUUGAUCCCUUGAUCUGCACUGCGAGGCUGGCUAAGAGUUCGAUAGUUCAUGGAAUUACCAGACACAAGGCUAAGUGGAUUACCAUUCAUAUCUAAUCGGGAACACCUCAAUACUGGCCAAUUGCUUGCUGUGCUUACUUUUUUCCUCACAGUAUAGCAUCGAAUUGAAAUCUAAUAAGUAAUUAAGUAUAGAAACUAAAACAAAAGUCUGCAGCAAUGGGUGCCUCAGAAUCCACUCUCUCAAGCCCACAGUCUCAGGUAACUCUUCAAUUCUGCUCAUCAGUCUUUAUAUUUGCGUAUAUUUUCUCAGAGUCUCCCGUUAAAUUCACGGCUUAAUUUAUUAUUAACUGAAUCUAUUGCUCCUCUAGAGACCAAUAGACGAUAUCACCACCGUCUCCUAUAAAUCAGAAUCCGUCGAUCCUAUAUUAGAGAAUAUCAAAUCCCUCAAGAUUGUGAGUUUUUUUUUUUCUUUCCUCUGAAGGAAUUCGCAUUCGUCAAUAUCUUAUAAAAAUUUAAUUUUAAAUUUUUGGCUGAUCAUAGACAACGCCAAUACUGACAUCACCACCACCAACGGAGAGUAGCUUGACUGACAUUUUAGUAAGAAGAUCAUCUACUUCUUCGGCUUCAGGUGGGUUUUAAUGGUUCAAAUAGCGGGUGUAUUUGAUUCAAUGAGUUGUAAAUUAGGGUUUCAAAGUGAAGUGUUCCUUUUGUUUACUACCUUGUAAGUUUUUCACUCUUAGUUUAUGUUUAAAAAAUUCAGAAAUUAAGGCCUGUGAAGAGAGGACUGCUCUCAGUUCUUAAAUGUUACAAAAGUCCUAAAGCUUUGGAAAAGUCAGAAUUUAGAAAUAUAUAAAUACAAUGUAAACAUUGAUAACUGCUUUAGCGGGCUCAUUAUUUGCUAGCUAGAUUGAAGUGGCAUCAGGCUUUCACCCUUAUGGUUGUGGAACUUUUAAUGAGUGGUUAAACUCUUGAGUCCUAAUUGAUUGCUGAACGCGAAUAUAGUUUCUGGGUUGAUUUUCCUCACAAAACUACUCUGAAGUGUGAGGAAAUUGGUAUGGUUCCCUAUGGUUUGGUUUAGUGUCUGACAAGCAGGGGCAAAAGUCUUCAGGCAGACAGAACUUUUAGUACUCUCGUUAAUCUUUUCUUUUGAGUAUAAUAGUAUUCAUGGUAAAGUGAAAUGUGAUGUUAGUUUUGUUUUCGUCAAGUGUUUAUGGCCCCAGAAGCAUUAAGCUGAAUAAUUUUGUUCUCUUAAGUUAUCUUACUGUAAUGAUUUGGUUGUAUUUGAUUUUUUCCAUCUUUAUUUUAUGUUCAAUAAUAUAGGUACUGUGAAUCCAAAGGUACUGCUGGAGCUUUUCUCAAUGUAUCGUGAUUGGCAGGAGGAGAAAGCCAAACAGAUUAGCAAGAGACAGGUUUGCGUUGCCAAUCAUAAAUUUUGAGAGUGCAAGACCAAUUCAACUAAUAUGGAUGUUUAUGACAUAAAGAUUGUGAAAGCAAAUGCGCAGCUUAGAUCAGCUGUGGAUCCCUAUGAAUUUCAUAUGAGAUCCAUUUAUUUCUGUACAUAGUUCUAGGAUUUGAAUUAAGAUUAUUAUAGAAAUUAAAUAAAUAAUCCUGCCCUGGGGACAUACAAUUCACUGUUACAUAAUUCUAACUUUAUUUGAUCCUCAAGGUUGAUAGUUAAAUAUGUAUGUAAUGAUUUGGGUUGAAAUGGAUUUAGCUCAUCCUGCAGUCAAACAGAUGCUUUUCUAGAUAAUGAUCAAAGGAGUGAAGGCAGAUUUACUGAUAUUAUAGUGUCUAUGAUCACCGUUUGUCAUCUGGUGAUGAGUGAUUAGUCAAUCUGUGUUGAUAUUACUCAUAAACAGGCAAGUCCUACUGGUUUGCCUUUUGAUUUUAGAAGUCUGGUUUUGGUUUGUCAUCAAGUUUGUAAACGACAAACAUCCCCUAAAUAAAAUAAAUUUAGGAAUUGAAUUUGGAUGCACUAUGACUAUCUAAAAUUGUUGUAGGAAGAGAUAGAAAACAAGAUUGAAGUUGCGGAUGCUUUGGCAACAAAACUUCUUCAACGUUUUGGUUACUCUGCGUCAGCAAUGAAGACAAGUUCACAGCAUCUAUCAGAAGGUAACUUGAUCAGAGUCAAUUCUGCAGGUCUGUUUUACUAGCUUUUUGGGUUUUAUUAAUUAUGUGCUUUGGAAAAUACAUGCAGUUCAUGCUUUGCAGGUGGAAAUCGGGGAGCUUAAGGGAAGGUUGACUGAGGUUAUUAGUAAUUGUGAUGCACUGUGCAAGAGAAUUGCUGCAGAGGGACCAGACUCACUUCAGGCAUCAAUCAAGCCACUUGCUGUCACUACUACCAGGUCAGAAGUUAGCUGUAGCUCAUCCUCAUUGCAAAAGGAUGAUAAACUUGAGUCCAGUUCAACAGAAGGCAAACUAGACUGACUUUUUGCCUUUUCUGUAUAGAUCUUUUGUUUCUUUUUACACUUAAUUGAAGCUUAGAUGGAUGGUCAGAACAUUCUAACCACUUAUUUCUGACUAAUAUUUGGUUGAGCUUUGUUCAUUGUGUUUGGAUUUGUGCCACAGAGCAUAUAUUUAUGGUUUCAUAUAUUCUUACUCACAAAAGAUUUAGUAAAAAAGUUAUAUUCAUUUUGUGGAGAAUUUUCUCCGAUGAUAAGAUCGUAGGAGUUUAACAUAGCGACUCUGAAAGCAUGAAGGGAAGGGCAAAUUCGUUCUCCCUGUGAUAAACUAGCGAAUCCACUGAUAAUUCCUCCUUUCGCAAAAUACAUUAUAAAUAAACAACCAAAUCUGCUGUAAAGAAACAAUAAUCCGAAUGCAAACUACCAAUUACUAAAGGUCUUUUUUGGAAAUUGCUCCCUUGCCAUGGCCCAUGAGCAUGCCAUACACUCGUCAUGCAUGUUGAAUCCCACAGUCCAGACACGCAUGUGAGCUAUAAAUAAAGAGGCUGUAAAUUGGAGAGUAUCGACACGUCAUUUCCGGUGAUGAUGAUGCACUGUGUAAACUAGAAAGAUCAAAUCUGGAUCUACCCAAACACAAUUUGCCCAAUUGGCAGAAAUUGGAAAACUCAUAGUAGAUGCUAAAUAGCAAUUUCAUCUUCCUGAAAUUAACGAAUGAAGUUACAAAGAUUCAAACGACAUAAAACAUGAAAUAACACUUGAACUAAACAAAUAUUCUCCUCAAAAAUCAAACCCUAGAAAGCACUCAAGCUGUCAAGCAUUAGCUUAAAAAUAAUACAAGAAGGUAAAAACCAAAUCUAAGGCUGCUGCUGAGCGUCCAUGUAUCCAGCAUCAACAAGAACUUUCUCUCUUUUAGCCAAUUCAAUAUCUUCAUCAACCAUCAUCUUCACCAACUGCUCAAACCCAACUCGAGGCUUCCAGCCAAGCACUUUCCUGGCCUUGCUUGAAUCCCCCUUCAAAUUAUCAACCUCAGCUGGCCUAAAAUACCUCUUAUCGAUCACCACAUGAUCCUUCCAAUUCAACCCCACAUACCCAAACGCGACCUCCAAAAACUCCUCCACUGUAUGCGACUCCUCCGUCGCCACCACAUAAUCAUCCGGCUUCUCCUGCUGCAACAUCAUCCACAUUGCCUCCACGUAGUCUCCCGCAAAUCCCCAAUCCCUCGACGCUUGCAAAUUACCCAAAAACAAUUUACUCUGCAAUCCUAUCUUGAUCCUCCCAACCGCACGCGUAAUUUUUCUAGUAACAAAAUUUUCGCCGCGUCUAGGCGAUUCGUGGUUAAAUAAAAUUCCGUUACACGCGAAAAGCCCGUAAGCUUCGCGGUAAUUUACAGUGUACCAAUGGGCAGCGCAUUUCGAAGCAGCGUAAGGAGAUCUUGGAUGGAAGGGAGUUGUCUCGGAUUGCGGAGGCGGAGUGGAUCCGAACAUUUCGGAUGAUCCGGCUUGGUAGUAACGGAUGUGGGACCUUCCACUGUCUGCAAUGUGAGAUCUAACAGCUUCGAGCAAACGGAGAGCUCCUGUGGCCACAACAUCGGCCGUGUAAUCGGGGAUCUCGAAGGAUACUGCCACGUGAGACUGGGCAGCUAGGUUGUAGACUUCGUCGGGGAGAAUGGUGUCGAGCCAGCGACGGAGAGACGACGCGUCGGUGAGAUCGGCGUAGUGGAGUUUCAUUCGGGCCUUGUGGGCGUUGUGUGGGUCGAUGUAGAUGUGAUUGAUACGCUGCGUAUUGAAGUUGGAGGACCGUCGGAUCAGGCCGUGGACUUCGUAGCCCUUGUUAAGGAGGAAUUCCGUUAAGUAGGAGCCGUCUUGGCCGGUAAUCCCAGUGAUCAGCGCGAUUUUCCGUUUAGGAGUGGCGUCACCGUUAAUGAUCGAUUCCGAUCUGGAUGACUCGUUCUCGGAUGCCAUUGAUGGAUGGUCCGGAUUGACGUGUCGGGUUUUCGACUUGAAUGAGAACGAGGGUCUAGCCGCCUAGUGAGAGUGUUGGCAAGUGACGGUUGUGUUUAGAAGUUUACGCGCUGGACUGAAUUGAUUUUAUAGGCUAACGCGUGAAGCAGGGGUAAUAUAGUCUAUGUCUAAUUGGGAGUUUCAUACCAGCAGCAUGGCGCGGUGGAUUUUCGUUGGGGAGGGUAGGAGUUGUCAAUUUUCUAUUGGGGGGCAGGUUGUCAUUUACUUGCCAAUUGGAAAUUUGAAAGUAAAGCAUUGUCAACAUUCACUAAUCUUGACUUGACUCAUCACGAUGUCGUUUUUUUUGACGAAAUUUUUUGGAAAAUUCAAAAUUGUUCAAACUACUUAAUUAUGUAGGAAUUAAGUCCACUGGCAGUUGGCUAAUUAAACAAUUGUGGAGAGCAAACAAUCACUGUAACACUCUUAUGAUAUUGCAUUAGACGGUCGCUUUAUAUCUAUAUUUGUUUCAGUUAAUGAUGAAGUGUAUUCAUGAAUCAUUUCACUUGAUUCUGAUUUUCACCACUUUUCUUCGUUAAAGCAGGAGAUUGUCAUAGCAGUUUUUUUUUUUAAUUUUUAUUAACCGAGAAAUCCAUUGAAAUUUAAAUUUAAGACAUGAGAUCUAAAAACACUGCUUAGCAUUAGAGCUCUACCUUAAUUUUAGAGAAUUACAUAAUUCAUUACAGUCAAUUGGGAGGUGUUGAGAAAUUAAGCUCCAUCAGGACUACUGUUUUAAACUCAAAUAAGUUCACAUAAGGUUUUUAAUUUUUUCACUGUAUUAAGUAUGAAUGAGAACUGGUCUAGAGUAAAGUAUGAAUGAGAAUUGGUCUAGACUAAGAGUAGUGAUAUUCAACACCACAUUUUAUCUCACAAGAUCUCAUCUUUUUAU
RNAcentral lists this long non-coding RNA (16097 nucleotides) under Citrus sinensis (sweet orange). RNAcentral's name for it is "long non-coding RNA (CSIN_LNC000453)". Lineage: Eukaryota; Viridiplantae; Streptophyta; Magnoliopsida; Sapindales; Rutaceae. The record is from RNAcentral.